This 770-nucleotide RNase P RNA is filed under the name candidate division Kazan bacterium RIFCSPHIGHO2_01_FULL_49_10. Its description in RNAcentral is "RNase P RNA component class A". It matches the Rfam family "Bacterial RNase P class A". Rfam says of the family: Ribonuclease P (RNase P) is a ubiquitous endoribonuclease, found in archaea, bacteria and eukarya as well as chloroplasts and mitochondria. Its best characterised activity is the generation of mature 5'-ends of tRNAs by cleaving the 5'-leader elements of precursor-tRNAs. RNAcentral also lists the same sequence under 1 other name. The record is from RNAcentral.
GUUUGUAAGUGGACGACUGCCUGUCCGUCAGCUGACGGAUGGGAGGAAAGUCCGAGCACCUUAAAUUAACCCGGAUAGUUUCUAACAGAAACCGUCCAUCCCCAGUUUUUCGGAACUGGAGAUGGAUAGGGAAAGUGCCACAGAGACAAUACUACCCAUCUCCAGUUUUGGACAUCUAUAAUGAGGUUAUGCACUGGGUUUAUAUGCUAUACAACCCAUCUACCGGAAAGUAUUAUACCGGUGAGACCAACAACCUCAAGCGCAGGUUGUCCGAGCAUCGCAGGGGCAAUAAUCAAUCCACCAAGCAUAAAUAUGCUGAUUGACGGCUGGUUUAUGCCGAACUACAUGUAGAUCAAAAUGAUGCUCGGAUUCGCGAAACCAAGCUGAAAUCCCACGGAUCGGGAAUCGUGGAGAUACGCAAGAGAAUAAAAAAUUCUCUUGAGGUUGUGUCCAAAACUGGGGAUGGGGAAAGGUGAAAAGUUGCGGGGUAAAGCCUAAGUGUCGCAGAAAAUCAGGUUUAAAUCUGAUAGUUUGUGUCCGUAUGCUACCCGCGAGGCCUCCGCGUGAGCGAAGUGUCCCGGUAAACCCUAUUCGGUGCAAGUUGGGGUGGGCCUGAUGUCAGCUACUAACGCCGAGGGUUAAGGCGGGCUGACCGGGAUCCCAACGCUUGAGCCUUAUGGCAACAUAAGGCCUAGAUAGAUAGUCGUCCCCAUCCCCAGUUCCAGGAACUGGAGAUGGGACAGAACUCGGCUUAUAGCUUGCAGACAGCC